CUUCCGUCCAGGCCGGAACCCAAGAUGGCUGCGCUCCUGCUGAGACAUGUUGGCCGGCAUUGCCUCCGAGCCCAUGUUAAUCCUCAGCUGUGUAUCAGAAAUGCUGUUCCUAUGGGAACUACAGCUAAGGAAGAAAUGGAGCGGUUCUGGAAUAAGAACUUGGGUUCACAGCGUCCUCUAUCUCCACAUCUCACUAUUUAUCGGUAAGGGCUGUCGUGCCAGAAAAUGUAGAGGUAGUGGGUAAAAGUUCUGGAGGUUGGUUCUCAGCCUUCCUGGUACUUCCUCAAGUGGAGGGAAAUAUUUUCUCAGUCGACAUAAAGCUAUGUAGAUGAAGUGAACCCUUCAGAGUAGGGAGAGAGGACAUAAAGGUCAUGUCAGGCCUUUGGUACUGGGGUUUGAACUCGGUCUCAUACUUGCUAGGCAGGCACUCACUAUCACUUGAGCCUCUUC
This is a non-coding RNA of Castor canadensis (American beaver), 450 nucleotides long. NCBI's taxonomy places the organism in Eukaryota, Metazoa, Chordata, Mammalia, Rodentia, Castoridae. The record is from RefSeq and is a predicted model, not a curated record.